GACGAACGCUGGCGGCGUGCCUACUAAAUGCAAGUAGAACGCCGUUGCGAACGGGUGAGUAACGCGUAUGUAACUGCCUCAUAGCGGGGGAUAACUAUUGGAAACGAUAGCUAAUACCGCAUACUGUGAGAUGGACCUGCGUUGUAUUAACUAGUUGGGGGGGUAAAGGCUCAUCAAGGCGACGGUACAUAGCCGACCUGAGAGGGUGAGCGGCCACACUGGGACUGAGCGACGGCCCAGACUCCUACGGGAGGAAGCAGUAGGGAAUCUUCGGCAAUGGACGGAAUUCUGACCGAGCAACGCCGCGUGAGUGAAGAAGUUUUUCGGAUCGUACAGCUCUGGUGUUAGAGAAGCGGUAACUACCCAGAAAGGGACGGCUAACUACGUGCCAGCAGCCGCGGUAAUUC
Molecule: ribosomal RNA, 407 nt
Filed under: uncultured bacterium
Lineage: Bacteria
Description: partial 16S ribosomal RNA
Rfam family: Bacterial small subunit ribosomal RNA
Source: RNAcentral